AAGUCGUAACAAGGUUUCCGUAGGUGAACCUGCGGAAGGAUCAUUAUUGAAUAAACUUGGUUAGGUUGUUGCUGGCUCUUAGGAGCAUGUGCACGCCAAAUCCAUCUUUAACCACCUGUGCACCUUGCGUAGAUCUGAACAUUUCGAGGACACUCGGCUUGAGAAUUGCUGUGCGUGAGCUAGCUCUUCUUGUAUUCAGGUCUAUGUUUUCAUAUACCCCAUAUGAAUGUAUACGAAUGUUGCAAUUGGCCUUGUGCCUUUAAAAACAAAUACAACUUUCAACAACGGAUCUCUUGGCUCUC
RNAcentral lists this unclassified non-coding RNA (302 nucleotides) under Entoloma sp. RNAcentral describes it as "partial internal transcribed spacer region". The stretch from base 1 to 46 matches the Rfam family "Eukaryotic small subunit ribosomal RNA", at positions 1786 to 1831 of the family's 1831-position model. Lineage: Eukaryota; Fungi; Basidiomycota; Agaricomycetes; Agaricales; Entolomataceae. The record is from RNAcentral.